This 465-nucleotide ribosomal RNA is filed under the name uncultured bacterium. Its description in RNAcentral is "partial 16S ribosomal RNA". It matches the Rfam family "Bacterial small subunit ribosomal RNA", at positions 28 to 507 of the family's 1533-position model. The record is from RNAcentral.
GACGAACGCUGGCGGCGUGCUUAACACAUGCAAGUCGUACGGUAAGGCCCUUUCGGGGGUACCCGAGUGGCGAACGGUUGCGUAACACGCGAGUAACCUUCCCACAACUUUUUGAUAACGCUAGGAAACUGGUGCUAAUUCUGGAUAUGUGCUCCUGCUCCAUGGUGGGGGUUGGAAAGCUCCGGCGGUUGUGGAUGGACUCGCGGCCUAUCAGCUUGUUGGUGGGGUAGUGGCCUACCAAGGCGGCGACGGGUAGCCGGCCUGAGAGGGUGACCGGCCACAUUGGGACUGAGAUACGGCCCAGACGCCUACGGGAGGCAGCAGGGGGGAAUAUUGCACAAGGGGCGCAAGCCUGAUGCAGCAGCGCCGCGUGCGGGAUGACGGCCUUCGGGUUGUAAACCGCUUUCAGCAGGGACGAAGCUUGUUGUGACGGUACCUGCAGAAGAAGCACCGGCUAACUACGUG